Molecule: ribosomal RNA, 260 nt
Filed under: Glomus sp. (unid)
Lineage: Eukaryota; Fungi; Glomeromycota; Glomeromycetes; Glomerales; Glomeraceae
Source: RNAcentral
CAGUCAUGCUCUUUGGGUUAAGCCGUUCGCGGUGUAUUCCAUUGAGUGGGGUCAACAUCAGUUUUGACCGCUGGAAAAAGGCACGAGGAAGGUAGCACUCUCGGGUGAACUUAUAGCCUCGCGUCAUAUACAGUGGUUGGGACUGAGGAACGCAGCAUGCCUUAUGGCCGGGAUUCGUCCACGUACAUGCUUAGGAUGUUGACAUAAUGGACUUUAAACGACCCGUCUUGAAACACGGACCAAGGAGUCUAACAUAUAUG